This 594-nucleotide long non-coding RNA is filed under the name Physcomitrium patens. RNAcentral describes it as "long non-coding RNA (PPAT_LNC000683)". The record is from RNAcentral. Lineage: Eukaryota; Viridiplantae; Streptophyta; Bryopsida; Funariales; Funariaceae.
CGCACCAGUCUCGUCCGCAACCUCAUCCGCGAGGUCGCUGGAUUCGCUCCCUACGAGAAGCGUAUUACUGAGUUGUUGAAGGUAGGCAAGGACAAGCGUGCUCUCAAGGUCGCCAAGAGGAAGCUUGGUACCCACUUGCGUGCCAAGCGCAAGAGGGAGGAGAUGACCACUGUGUUGCGCAAGAUGCGCGCUGGUGGUCACGCCGAGAAGAAGAAGUAAGGGCAGUUUGCGUUUCGGAGAUUAGGGUUAGUCAUUGGGACUUUUGGACUGAGGGUGGAGAUCUUUUGUUGAAACUUAUUUUGGCCGUGCGCUAGUGCUGCAAUAGAAUAAACAGCUUCUGUCAUGAUGUAGCUUUCGCCCUCUUGGUACCUAUUGUUGGUGUUUCAAACCUCUGGCCAAGCCUUACCUGCUGAUGAUUCUUUCACUUUUUCUGGUUUUGUAUGUGAGUUGUAUGUACGUGUUCACUUUAAACCUCUACACAGGCAAACUUUUGUCUGAUGAAGUAGAAAUGGAACUAGUGAAGGAGUAGAAUUGCUUUGUACAAUUUCGAUGCAUGGCAAAAAUUCUUUUGGAAAUCUAGUUAAAAGUUUCGAU